RNAcentral lists this ribosomal RNA (254 nucleotides) under uncultured prokaryote. RNAcentral describes it as "partial 16S ribosomal RNA". It matches the Rfam family "Bacterial small subunit ribosomal RNA", at positions 525 to 777 of the family's 1533-position model. The record is from RNAcentral.
ACGUAGGAUCCAAGCGUUAUCCGGAUUUACUGGGCGUAAAGAGUUGCGUAGGUGGUUUGUUAAGUAAAUAGUGAAAUCGUGUGGCUCAACCAUACAUCCAUUAUUUAAACUGGCAGACUUGAGAAUGAGAGAGGUAGCUGGAAUUGCUAGUGUAGGAGUGGAAUCCGUAGAUAUUAGCAGGAACACCGAUGGCGUAGGCAGGCUACUGGCUCAUUUCUGACACUAAGGCACGAAAGCGUGGGGAGCAAACAGGA